RNAcentral lists this ribosomal RNA (620 nucleotides) under uncultured bacterium. RNAcentral describes it as "bacterial SSU rRNA". It matches the Rfam family "Bacterial small subunit ribosomal RNA", at positions 338 to 956 of the family's 1533-position model. The record is from RNAcentral.
CCUACGGGAGGCAGCAGUGGGGAAUUUUGGACAAUGGGCGAAAGCCUGAUCCAGCCAUUCCGCGUGAGUGAAGAAGGCCUUCGGGUUGUAAAGCUCUUUCGCAAGGGAAGAAAACUUACCAUCGAAUAAAUGGUGAGGCUGACGGUACCUUGAUAAGAAGCACCGGCUAACUACGUGCCAGCAGCCGCGGUAAUACGUAGGGUGCGAGCGUUAAUCGGAAUUACUGGGCGUAAAGCGUGCGCAGGCGGUUUUGUAAGUCAGAUGUGAAAUCCCCGAGCUCAACUUGGGAACUGCGUUUGAAACUACAAGACUAGAAUAUGUCAGAGGGGGGUAGAAUUCCACGUGUAGCAGUGAAAUGCGUAGAGAUGUGGAGGAAUACCAAUGGCGAAGGCAGCCCCCUGGGAUAAUAUUGACGCUCAUGCACGAAAGCGUGGGGAGCAAACAGGAUUAGAUACCCUGGUAGUCCACGCCCUAAACGAUGUCUACUAGUUGUUGGUGGAGUAAAAUCCAUGAGUAACGCAGCUAACGCGUGAAGUAGACCGCCUGGGGAGUACGGUCGNAAGAUUAAAACUNAAAGGAAUUGACCGGNNGAGACGNGCGAGACGACGACGAGGGAGAGG